AGGCAGCAGGCACGCAAAUUACCCAAUCCCAGCCCGGGGAGGUAGUGACGAAAAAUAACAAUGCGGGACUCUUCUGAGUCUGCGUAAUUGGAAUGAGUACACUUUAAAUCCUUUAGCAACAACCAAUUGGAGGGCAAGUCUGGUGCCAGCAGCCGCGGUAAUUCCAGCUCCAAUAGCGUAUAUUAAAGUUGUUGCGGUUAAAAAGCUCGUAGUUCGAGCUCAGUUCCGGACUGGCUGGGGAGGUCACCGCCCGGUGCUUCCCCGUCAGGCUCCGAACAGCUUUCAUGACUGAAAGCCAAGCCGGUUUUCGCCGGGGUGCUCUUCACCGAGUGUCCCGCGCGGCCGGCCAGUUUACCUUGAAUAAAUGAGAGUGCUCAAAGCAGGCUACUCUUAAAAAUAAAGCCCGAAUGUUACCUGCAUGGAAUGAUGGAAGAUGAUCUCGGUUCCAUUUUAUUGGCUCUGGGAAUCCGAGUUAAUGAUAAACAGGGACAGUCGGGGGCAUCCGUACUACGACGCGAGAGGUGAAAUUCAGUGACCGUCGUAGGACGAACAACAGCGAAAGCAUUUGCCAAGAAUGUCUUCGUUGAUCAAGAACGAAAGUUAGAGGAUCGAAGGCGAUCAGAUACCGCCCUAGUUCUAACCCUAAACGAUGCUGACUAGCAAUUCGCCGUCGUUAUUCCCAUGACGUGGCGAGACGCCCCCGGGAAACCUCAAGUCUUUGAGUUCCGGGGGUAGUAUGGUUGCAAAACUGAAACUUAAAGGAAUUGACGGAAGGGCACCACCAGGAGUGGAGCCUGCGGCUUAAUUUGACUCAACACGGGAAACCUCACCAGGCCCGGACACCAGAAGGAUUGACAGAUUAAGAGCUCUUUCUCGAUUUGGUGGGUGGUGGUGCAUGGCCGUUCUUAGUUGGUGGAGUGAUUUGUCUGGUUAAUUCCGGUAACGAACGAGACUCUGGCCUACUAAAUAGUCGACGUGGGUUUUGGUGCAUGGGCCCCGUUCGACAAUGUCUUCUUAGAGGGAUGAGCAGCGAGUAUAGCUGCAGGAGAUUGAGCAAUAACAGGUCUGUGAUGCCCUUAGAUGUCCUGGGCCGCACGCGCGCUACACUGAAUGGGUUAGCGGGUCUUCCUUCUCCGAGAGGAGCGGGAAAUCGCGUGAAAACCAUUCGUGAUAGGGAUUGGGGCUUGCAAUUGUUUCCCAUGAACGAGGAAUUCCCAGUAAGCGCAAGUCAUCAGCUUGCGUUGAUUAAGUCCCUGCCCUUUGUACACACCGCCCGUCGCUACUACCGAUUGAAUGAUUUAGUGAGGCCUUCGGACUGGCGGUCUUGGACUGGGCUUCACUCGCCACUACCCCAGCGAUGGGGGGCGGUGGACUCGCCAAGACGAGACGGAAAGAUGUCCAAACUUGAUCAUUUAGAGGAAGUAAAAGUCGUAACAAGGUUUCC
Molecule: ribosomal RNA, 1444 nt
Filed under: Plesionika quasigrandis
Lineage: Eukaryota; Metazoa; Arthropoda; Malacostraca; Decapoda; Pandalidae
Description: SSU rRNA
Rfam family: Eukaryotic small subunit ribosomal RNA
Source: RNAcentral